UACGAAGGUAGCUAGCGUUGUUCGGAAUUACUGGGCGUAAAGGGCGCGUAGGCGGUUUAGUAAGUCAGAUGUGAAAGCCCCGGGCUUAACCUGGGAACAGCAUUUGAUACUGCUAGACUAGAGAUCGAAAGAGGAGAGUGGAAUUGCGAGUGUAGAGGUGAAAUUCGUAGAUAUUCGCAGGAACACCAGUGGCGAAGGCGACUCUCUGGUUCGAUACUGACGCUAAAGCGCGAAAGCGUGGGGAGCAAACAGG
RNAcentral lists this ribosomal RNA (253 nucleotides) under uncultured bacterium. RNAcentral's name for it is "partial 16S ribosomal RNA". It matches the Rfam family "Bacterial small subunit ribosomal RNA", at positions 524 to 776 of the family's 1533-position model. The record is from RNAcentral.